Lolium rigidum is the source of this 796-nucleotide long non-coding RNA. RefSeq lists it as uncharacterized. NCBI's taxonomy places the organism in Eukaryota, Viridiplantae, Streptophyta, Magnoliopsida, Poales, Poaceae. The transcript is spliced from 3 exons. The record is from RefSeq and is a predicted model, not a curated record.
GCCAUGCAUCCUGUUGUCUUCACAGUUAUUGUCACUUAAGUUACUUACGUGUCGCGGCGCCAAAGGCGACCCCCGUCCAGCCAUUUUCUGUUAUUCUAGAAAAAAAAUAAAGAUUCGCAUGGUUCCAUGAAAACAAGCACAAGUUGCUAGCAACGGGAUCUCUCCCAAUAUUCUAAAGGUUGGUAUGAAUGGGUUGUCGUCAUGGCGCUACACAGGAAUAAGGGUGUGUUUGGUUCUGAGCCAAAGUUAGCCCCACCAAAAAUUGGUGCACCAAUUCUAUAUGACUGGUUUGGUUGGAUGCUCAAAACUUGGAUAGCCCAGCCGAGUCUGUAAGCAUGCAGUUAAAUUUUUCACUGAUCCCCAAGGCGGACUGAGGGUGGCUGACUUCUACGCCAAAAAGUUGGUCACACCCAAGAUUUGGUAUGGCUUUGUGGCUUAUACCAAAUAGGCCCUAAGAGCCAACAACGAGGAGAGGAGGUAGAGGUAUUAUGAAUGGCUACUAUGGUGGUGUGGUGCUGGUAGGAGCUUGUGCUUUGUAGAAUAUCACAGAUUAAUGUUGGAACCCUACUAGGCAGUGCUUUCCCAUGGAUGGCAGCAGUAGCGGUGGAAUGGGGGAGUUCAAUGCGUUCUAUAAGAUGUGUAGUUGCUGAAAUGAAGAUCGGUGUGGCAUCAGUUUCUUCGUAUCUUUCCCUGCAAAUUCCAGACGCAAUAAUGGUUCGGGCAAAAAUAUGAUUCCGUUGUAUGAGUUGAAUAGAAACUUGCAGCAGAAAGUGUAUUGACCAUCUUGGAAGUAUAU